UCGCCUGUUUUAUCAAAAACAUAGCCUGCGAAAUCUCACCGCAAGUGAUGCCUGCCCACUGCUAUAAGUAAACGGCCGCAGAAUUUUAACUGUGCUAAGGUAGCACAAUAUAUAGCUUCUUAAUUAGAUGCCAGCAUGAACGGCUUAAUAAGAGUUUACCUGUCUUCAUCAUACACUUAAACUUAACUGGAAAGUUAAAAGUCUUUCCUUAUUUUAAAAAGACGACAAGACCCUAAAAACUUAUCUUUUUAUAUUCAAUUAAAUUAAGAACUUAAACUUAAAGGAUUUUACUGGGGCGGUAACCUUUAUCUAAAAACAAAGGAUACACAAACAAUAUGCAUGAAAAACCAAAACCCAUCCUAAACCCAAACCCAAAGUUACUUUAGGGAUAACAGCGUUAUAUUAUUUUAGAGCCCCUAUCGACAAUAAAGAUUACGACCUCGAUGUUGAAUUGAAAAUUCUAAUUGAAGCAGCCUUCAAAAAAGAAAGUCUGUUCGACUUUUAAAAUUUCACAUGAUCUGAGUUCAAACCGG
RNAcentral lists this ribosomal RNA (533 nucleotides) under Gnorimosphaeroma sp. RW02.060.2551. Its description in RNAcentral is "partial 16S ribosomal RNA". It matches the Rfam family "Bacterial large subunit ribosomal RNA", at positions 1796 to 2619 of the family's 2925-position model. The record is from RNAcentral. Lineage: Eukaryota; Metazoa; Arthropoda; Malacostraca; Isopoda; Sphaeromatidae.